GAGUUUGAUCUUGGCUCAGAGCGAACGCUGGCGGCAUGCUUAACACAUGCAAGUCGCACGGUCAGCAAUGGCAGUGGCGGACGGGGUGAGUAACACGUAGGAAUCUAUCUCUGGGUGGGGGACAACAGUGGGAAACUACUGCUAAUACCGCAUGAUACCUGAGGGUCAAAGGCGUAAGUCGCCUGGAGAGGAGCCUGCGUCUGAUUAGCUUGUUGGUGGGGUAAAGGCCUACCAAGGCUACGAUCAGUAGCUGGUCUGAGAGGAUGAUCAGCCACAUUGGGACUGAGACACGGCCCAAACUCCUACGGGAGGCAGCAGUGGGGAAUAUUGGACAAUGGGCGAAAGCCUGAUCCAGCAAUGCCGCGUGUGUGAAGAAGGUCUUCGGAUUGUAAAGCACUUUUGGCAGGGACGAUGAUGACGGUACCUGCAGAAUAAGCCCCGGCUAACUUCGUGCCAGCAGCCGCCGCUGUAAG
Molecule: ribosomal RNA, 473 nt
Filed under: bacterium enrichment culture clone ALO1_GLFRUDD03GI7N6
Lineage: Bacteria
Description: bacterial SSU rRNA
Rfam family: Bacterial small subunit ribosomal RNA
Source: RNAcentral